AGAAUCAACGCUGGCGGCGUGCCUAACACAUGCAAGUCGAGCGCGAAAGGGGAGCAAUCCCCAAGUAGAGCGGCGAACGGGUGAGUAACGCGUGGGUAAUCUGCCUCCGAGUGGGGAACAACAUCGGGAAACUGGUGCUAAUACCGCAUAACAUCGUCGGGUUUUCGGAUCUGACGAUCAAAGCCGGGGACCGCAAGGCCUGGCGCUUGGAGAGGAGCCCGCGUCCGAUUAGCUAGUUGGUGGGGUAAUGGCCUACCAAGGCUUCGAUCGGU
Molecule: ribosomal RNA, 272 nt
Filed under: uncultured soil bacterium
Lineage: Bacteria
Description: partial 16S ribosomal RNA
Rfam family: Bacterial small subunit ribosomal RNA
Source: RNAcentral